AUACGUAGGGGGCAAGCGUUGUCCGGAAUGACUGGGCGUAAAGGGCGUGUAGGCGGCCGAUUAAGUCUGGAGUGAAAGUCCUGCUUUCAAGGUGGGAAUUGCUUCGGAUACUGGUUGGCUUGAGUGCGGAAGAGGUAAGUGGAAUUCCCAGUGUAGCGGUGAAAUGCGUAGAGAUUGGGAGGAACACCAGUGGCGAAGGCGACUUACUGGACUGUAACUGACGCUGAGGCGCGAAAGUGUGGGGAGCAAACAGGAUUAGAUACCCUGGUAGUCCACACUGUAAACGAUGAAUGCUAGGUGUAGGGGGGUAUCGACCCCUUCUGUGCCGCAGUCAACACAAUAAGCAUUCCGCCUGGGGAGUAUGGCCGCAAGGUUGAAACUCAAAUGAAUUGGCGGGG
RNAcentral lists this ribosomal RNA (398 nucleotides) under uncultured bacterium. RNAcentral's name for it is "partial 16S ribosomal RNA". It matches the Rfam family "Bacterial small subunit ribosomal RNA", at positions 523 to 918 of the family's 1533-position model. The record is from RNAcentral.